GACGAAGGAUGCAAGCGUUAUCCGGAUUCAUUGGGUUUAAAGGGAGCGUAGGUGGCCUUAUAAGUCAGUGGUGAAAUCUCUGGGCUUAACCCAGAAAUUGCCAUUGAUACUGUAGGGCUUGAGUAUAGUUGCCGUUGGCGGAAUAUGACAUGUAGUGGUGAAAUACAUAGAGAUGUCAUAGAACACCGAUUGCGAAGGCAGCUGACGAAACUAUAACUGACACUGAGGCUCGAAAGUGCGGGGAUCAAAC
This 250-nucleotide ribosomal RNA is filed under the name uncultured bacterium. RNAcentral describes it as "partial 16S ribosomal RNA". It matches the Rfam family "Bacterial small subunit ribosomal RNA", at positions 524 to 773 of the family's 1533-position model. The record is from RNAcentral.